UUGGAUAUCUUCAACAAUUCAAUGAAGAAGUUAUUCAUUUAUCUUCAUACUUCUCCCUCUAAUCUUCUUCUUCUUCUUCUUCUCCUUUGCAAUAUGAGUCACUUUUCUAUUGCAUUUUAUUAAUUAUCGUACUUCAAUAUCUUAGAUAUUGGUUUUUUUGUAUUGUAUUUCAGUGUUUGUAUUCUAUUUUGUGCUAUUGUUAUUAACUAGUAUGCUAAAUUUAUCUAUAUCGUAUAUUUUUUUUAAAGAAAAAAAUAUAUCUUCAACGUAUCAGUAUCCUCGUUUUUUAGAAAUAUAUAUAUUAAAAAUAUAUAUAAAAAAAUGACGCAUCCUUAGAUGUAUCUAUAUCUUAGUUUUUUAGAAAUUGAUGAAUCGUCGUAUUCGAUCAUAUCUGUAUCAUGUAGUCGUAUCUGUGUCUAUGCUUCAUAACUGCAUAGGUAGCAUGAUGUGGAUUAAUCUUUCAACACGUGUUCAAUUCCAAGUUCCUACGAUUAUGCUUAGUUUGCAUUUAUACAUUUCUUGUUUUGGAACCAAUAACAUUCAGGAAAUGGACUAUGUUGUUCGAUUUUUUAGUCCUCAAUGUCAAUGAGCUCGGACUAUUGUGCAAGAUAUUUCAAGUAGGUUUUACGAUUUCUUUGCUAUGGAUAUGAUGGUGUUUACGUCUGUCUAUGAAGUGGACAAAGAGUUAUUGUAUGGGAAAAAAAAAAAGGUCAAGUCGUGGAAAAUGUAGUCACUAUUCAGGUACGUGAUAUCUUAUUGAUAUCUGAUUCUGUCGUUGCUCCAGUAUUUAUGCAAAUGCUGCAGACUUAAUUCCACUACUCUUUUUGCUUCUUCUCUGUAGUUAUUUAUAUCUUUUCGGUUCUGCGAAUAAAAGACCUUUACCUUGUCUUCUGCAGUUGGAUUUGUUGUUUUGUAGUUGUUACAUUUUAUUAUUAUUAUUAUCAUUAUUAUUUUAAUAAACCAAACUUUCAUUGAGAUUGAUGGAAGGAUAUACAAGGGCAAACAGAAACAACAAACAAGCCCAAUAAACAAAACAACCCACUCCAAUUGUGGUCUUGGAAUGCUAUUUUGUAGUUCCUUUGUGAUGAUCCUAUCCCUGAAGGGUGGUCUUGGCUAAAACUUACGAGAAAAAUAAUUGUCCUUAUUAAAUAUUCAACUUCGAUUUCUUCUUCAACUUAGUACUGGAGAAUGCUAAAUGCACUGUAUUCUAUGAUUUUCGCAGCUUUAAAACUGGAAUUGAUUGCUUAUUGGUUCAGAAAUUUACUUGUUCCUAUACAGGGGGUUGACAUCGUCAGGAUAUUUGCUAGCUAUUGGAGACAACUAAAUGUGCGAGCUUCAUCCCGAUGGAAAUAGCUGGCAGCAGUGGCAUACCCUGUUUCUACAUUGCAUGCAUCAGCUCACAAUCCCAAGCAUGAAUUCAUCUCCAAAUGCAAUGACUGGAUAUAUGAUUUUAGAAGGCUAAUACAUAGUAGUGAUGUGAUCUUAAAUCUGUGAUCAUGUCAACUUCCUGUUGUUCUACAGUUUGGAUUUUUUCAAAGGACUAAUCACGAGCAAACUGGUGUAAGAAUACUGCUUUUUCACUUUGCAACGAGUGGCUGGCUAUGAGCUGUAUGGAAUGGAAUCAUGUGCAAUAAGAAGGGGACAUUAGCUUUCUUUUAUUUUAAGUUAAAAUUCUCUCUGUUUCGAAAGUGGAGGGAAGAAAGAGAGAUAUUUUACUUUUUAUGAUUAAACAAUGAGAUAUCAACUGAAGUUGUAAAUAUUAUUUAUCUUUAAACUUACUAAGGAUGGUACAUGGUCCAAAACGUGCUAUAUUUUUGUA
Benincasa hispida (wax gourd) is the source of this 1819-nucleotide non-coding RNA. The record is from RefSeq and is a predicted model, not a curated record. NCBI's taxonomy places the organism in Eukaryota, Viridiplantae, Streptophyta, Magnoliopsida, Cucurbitales, Cucurbitaceae.